This 337-nucleotide unclassified non-coding RNA is filed under the name fungal sp. RNAcentral describes it as "partial internal transcribed spacer region". The stretch from base 1 to 68 matches the Rfam family "Eukaryotic small subunit ribosomal RNA", at positions 1764 to 1831 of the family's 1831-position model. The record is from RNAcentral. Lineage: Eukaryota; Fungi.
CUUGGUUAUUUAGAGGAAGGAGAAGUCGUAACAAGGUAUCCGUAGGUGAACCUGCGGAUGGAUCAUUUCCACUAUUAAAACAAAAAAAGAGAAGGGAGAUUUUGUCCAAGUGCGAAUGAAAGUUUGCACUAGAUGAUUUCAAACCUCUCUUUUUUUAACUUUAACAAACCUUUUAACGUGAAUUGUUAUUGUACAAAACAUUUUUAUAAACGUAGUUUUAAGUUUUGAGUUUUAAUGAUUCAAAAUGAAAAACAAACGUUAAACAAAUUAGAAUUGGUUUUUACAAUUAAAAAAAAGUAACCAAAAACAACUCUUAACAACGGAUGUCUUGGUUCUC